Molecule: non-coding RNA, 385 nt
Organism: Lonchura striata (white-rumped munia)
Lineage: Eukaryota; Metazoa; Chordata; Aves; Passeriformes; Estrildidae
Source: RefSeq, a predicted model, not a curated record
CUGCGCCAGCACCAGCCCUGGCAGAGGAUGGAGGACCCGGUGUCCCCUGCACCAGCCAGUGACAAAGGCUUUGACAACCCCAUGUUCAGCGUGGAACCUCCAGAUGCUGACCUUGGAGAGGAGACACCCAAAGAUCUCCAGGUUUUCUACCUCAACCCUCUGUACGAUGCAAGCGAGACAGAGACCUGAUGGUGUGGACUCAUGCUGGGGGCAGACACCACUCCCUUGGGGACAUCACUGCCUCUCCAGCCCUCACAGCCCCUCACAGUCCUUAACAUCACUCCUGGUGGGAUUUAAGCCAGAAGCAGAUCCCACCUGAAUAAAAGUGUCUGUGCAGUGAAGGAAACCAUAGCAAACCUUCACUGUUGGGACUCAGUCACAUGGA